UGAAGUCUUAGUGGCGCAGCUAACGCACUAAGUAGACCGCCUGGGGAGUACGGCCGCAAGGUUAAAACUCAAAUGAAUUGACGGGGGCCCGCACAAGCGGUGGAGCAUGUGGUUUAAUUCGACGCAACGCGAAGAACCUUACCUGGCCUUGACGUGCAGAGAACUUUCCAGAGAUGGAUUGGUGCCUUCGGGAACUCUGACACAGGUGCUGCAUGGCCGUCGUCAGCUCGUGUCGUGAGAUGUUGGGUUAAGUCCCGUAACGAGCGCAACCCCUAUCCCUAGUUGCUAGCAGUUCGGCUGAGAACUCUAGGGAGACUGCCGGUGACAAACCGGAGGAAGGUGGGGAUGACGUCAGGUCAUCAUGGCCCUUACGGCCAGGGCUACACACGUGCUACAAUGGUGCGUACAGAGGGCUGCAAACCCGCGAGGGGGAGCUAAUCUCACAAAACGCAUCGUAGUCCGGAUCGGAGUCUGCAACUCGACUCCGUGAAGUCGGAAUCGCUAGUAAUCGCGAAUCAGAAUGUCGCGGUGAAUACGUUCCCGGGCCUUGUACACACCGCCCGUCACACCAUGGGAGUGGAUUGCACCAGAAGUGGUUAGUCUAACCUUCGGGAGGACGAU
RNAcentral lists this ribosomal RNA (621 nucleotides) under uncultured bacterium. RNAcentral's name for it is "bacterial SSU rRNA". It matches the Rfam family "Bacterial small subunit ribosomal RNA", at positions 833 to 1454 of the family's 1533-position model. The record is from RNAcentral.